CGGACGGGUGAGUAACGCGUGAGAAUCUAGCUUUAGGUCGGGGACAACCACGGGAAACUGUGGCUAAUACCGGAUAUGCCGAGAGGUGAAAGGCUUGCUGCCUGAAGAUGAGCUCGCGUCUGAUUAGCUAGUAGGUGUGGUAAGAGCGCACCUAGGCGACGAUCAGUAGCUGGUCUGAGAGGAUGAUCAGCCACACUGGGACUGAGACACGGCCCAGACUCCUACGGGAGGCAGCAGUGGGGAAUUUUCCGCAAUGGGCGAAAGCCUGACGGAGCAAUACCGCGUGAGGGAGGAAGGCUCUUGGGUUGUAAACCUCUUUUCUCAGGGAAGAAAAAAAUGACGGUACCUGAGGAAUAAGCAUCGGCUAACUCCGUGCCAGCAGCCGCGGUUAGACGGAGGAUGCAAGUGUUAUCCGGAAUCACUGGGCGUAAAGCGUCUGUAGGUGGUCCAAUAAGUCAACUGUUAAAUCUUGAGGCUCAACCUCAAAAUCGCAGUCGAAACUAUUAGACUAGAGUAUAGUAGGGGUAAAGGGAAUUUCCAGUGGAGCGGUGAAAUGCGUAGAGAUUGGAAAGAACACCGAUGGCGAAGGCACUUUACUGGGCUAUUACUAACACUCAGAGACGAAAGCUAGGGUAGCUAAUGGGAUUAGAUACCCCAGUAGUC
RNAcentral lists this ribosomal RNA (663 nucleotides) under uncultured diatom. RNAcentral describes it as "SSU rRNA". It matches the Rfam family "Bacterial small subunit ribosomal RNA", at positions 99 to 795 of the family's 1533-position model. Lineage: Eukaryota; Bacillariophyta. The record is from RNAcentral.